This 468-nucleotide ribosomal RNA is filed under the name uncultured bacterium. Its description in RNAcentral is "partial 16S ribosomal RNA". It matches the Rfam family "Bacterial small subunit ribosomal RNA", at positions 28 to 507 of the family's 1533-position model. The record is from RNAcentral.
GACGAACGCUGGCGGCGUGCUUAACACAUGCAAGUCGAACGGAAAGGCCCUGCUUUUGCGGGGUGCUCGAGUGGCGAACGGGUGAGUAACACGUGAGUAACCUGCCCUUGACUUUGGGAUAACUUUAGGAAACUGGGGCUAAUACCGGAUAGGAGCUCCUGCUGCAUGUUGGGGGUUGGAAAGUUUCGGCGGUUGGGGAUGGACUCGCGGCUUAUCAGCUUGUUGGUGGGGUAGUGGCUUACCAAGGCUUUGACGGGUAGCUGGCCUGGGAGGGUGACCGGCCAAAUUGGGACUGGGAUACGGCCCAGACUCAUACGGGAGGCAGAGGUGGAGAAUAUUGCACAAUGGGCGGAGGCCUGAUGCAGCAACGCCGCGUGCGGGAUGACGGCCUUCGGGUUGUAAACCGCUUUCGCCUGUGACGAAGCGUGAGUGACGGUAAUGGGUAAAGAAGCACCGGCUAACUACGUG